AGAGUUUGAUCCUGGCUCAGAGUGAACGCUGGCGGCGUGCUUAACACAUGCAAGUCGAACGAGAACGGUCCUUCGGGAUGUCAGCUAAGUGGCGGACGGGUGAGUAAUGUAUAGUUAAUCUGCCCUUUAGAGGGGGAUAACAGUUGGAAACGACUGCUAAUACCCCAUACUCCUUCUAUGUUAAUCAUAGUUGGGAAAUGUUUUUUCGCUAAAGGAUGAGACUAUAUGGUAUCAGGUAGUUGGUGGGGUAAGAGCCUACCAAGCCAAUGACGCCUAGCUGGUCUGAGAGGAUGAUCAGCCACACUGGAACUGAGACACGGUCCAGACUCCUACGGGAGGCAGCAGUGGGGAAUAUUGCACAAUGGAGGAAACUCUGAUGCAGCAACGCCGCGUGGAGGAUGACGCAUUUCGGUGUGUAAACUCCUUUUAUAUAGGAAGAUAAUGACGGUACUAUAUGAAUAAGCACCGGCUAACUCCGUGCCAGCAGCCGCGGUAAUACGGAGGGUGCGAGCGUUAAUCGGAAUUACUGGGCGUAAAGCGCGCGUAGGCGGCCUGAUCAGUCGGAUGUGAAAGCCCUGGGCUUAACCUGGGAAUUGCAUUCGAUACUGUCAGGCUAGAGUAUGGGAGAGGGAAGUGGAAUUUCCGGUGUAGCGGUGAAAUGCGUAGAUAUCGGAAGGAACACCAGUGGCGAAGGCGACUUCCUGGCCCAAUACUGACGCUGAGGUGCGAAAGCGUGGGUAGCGAACAGGAUUAGAUACCCUGGUAGUCCACGCCGUAAACGAUGAGAACUAGAUGUCGGGAGGAUUUACCUUUCGGUGUCGCAGCUAACGCGUUAAGUUCUCCGCCUGGGGAGUACGCCGGCAACGGUAAAACUCAAAGGAAUUGACGGGGACCCGCACAAGCGGUGGAGCAUGUGGUUUAAUUCGAUGCAACGCGAAGAACCUUACCUGGUCUUGACAUCUUUAAGAACACUUUAGAGAUAGAGUGGUGCCUUCGGGAGCUUUUAUACAGGUGCUGCACGGCUGUCGUCAGCUCGUGUCGUGAGAUGUUGGGUUAAGUCCCGCAACGAGCGCAACCCUCGUCACUAGUUACUAACGGUUCGGCCGAGGACUCUAGUGAGACUGCCUUCGCAAGGAGGAGGAAGGUGAGGACGACGUCAAGUCAUCAUGGCCCUUACGGCUAGGGCAACACACGUGCUACAAUGGCCAGGACAAUGAGAAGCGAUACCGCGAGGUGGAGCAAAUCUAUAAACCUGGUCUCAGUUCGGAUUGUAGUCUGCAACUCGACUACAUGAAGCUGGAAUCACUAGUAAUCGUAGAUCAGCUAUGCUACGGUGAAUACGUUCCCGGGUCUUGUACUCACCGCCCGUCACACCAUGGGAGUUGAUUUCACCCGAAGCGGGGAAGCUAAACUGGCUACCCUCCACGGUGGAAUCAGCGACUGGGGUGAAGUCGUAACAAGGUAACC
This 1467-nucleotide ribosomal RNA is filed under the name uncultured prokaryote. RNAcentral's name for it is "partial 16S ribosomal RNA". It matches the Rfam family "Bacterial small subunit ribosomal RNA". The record is from RNAcentral.